GUAUUGUAUUGCGUUAAACGCAGAUGCAUUCCAUGAGACUUUGCUACGGUGUGUGUGUAAAGACGUAGGACCACAGCAGGAGGACAGAGCCCCCCAGGCCAUAGAACUACAGAGGGUGCACAGGUGUGAGUGGAUGUGUAAACAGAGCGUGCACAUGCCCCCAUACAGGGACCAGCAACAACUCUUGUUGACAAUUCGGUAAUGAUCCUUCCGCAGGUUCACCUACGGAAA
RNAcentral lists this unclassified non-coding RNA (231 nucleotides) under uncultured fungus. RNAcentral's name for it is "sequence contains ITS1". The record is from RNAcentral. Lineage: Eukaryota; Fungi.